CUGAAAAGUAAUAAUAUUUACAAUAAUAUUUACAAUAUAAACUCAUAAAUUAUAAUAUCACAGAUUGAUGGAGAAAUCAUCCUACUCUUCUAAUAUAUACACACACAUAUAUAUAUAUAUAUAUAUAUGCAUGUUCUUGUAUAUUGUAUAUGAAACAAAUAAGAGAUUUAAUAAAAUAGUAAUUUAUGUAUAGUAA
Molecule: long non-coding RNA, 196 nt
Organism: Apis laboriosa (Himalayan honeybee)
Lineage: Eukaryota; Metazoa; Arthropoda; Insecta; Hymenoptera; Apidae
Exons: 2
Source: RefSeq, a predicted model, not a curated record